Neltuma alba is the source of this 91-nucleotide small nucleolar RNA. RefSeq annotates it as small nucleolar RNA U61. The record is from RefSeq and is a predicted model, not a curated record. Lineage: Eukaryota; Viridiplantae; Streptophyta; Magnoliopsida; Fabales; Fabaceae. The transcript has a single exon.
AGUCUGUGAUGAAGUUGAAACAGUGCCGGAGGCGGGUCUCCUGUGAGCUCGUCGCUGAUGGCGCAAAUAUCCUCUAAGAAGUUCUGAGCUC